Felis catus (domestic cat) is the source of this 5594-nucleotide long non-coding RNA. RefSeq lists it as uncharacterized. The record is from RefSeq and is a predicted model, not a curated record. The transcript is spliced from 2 exons. Lineage: Eukaryota; Metazoa; Chordata; Mammalia; Carnivora; Felidae.
GAGCCUGCUUCGGAUUCUGUGUCUCCCUCUCUCUCUGCCCCUCCCCCGCUCACACUCUGUCUCUCUUUCUCUCUCAAAACAUAAAUAAGCAUUAAAAAAAAAUUAAAGUUCAGGUCAGGCCAUAAAAGUUCCUCCCAUUUUCAGUUGGAUGGAAAGCUACGGUUGGAGAGAGAGUUUUAGUCAGAACGCUUCCAUGUGUCUGCGUGAACUUCUCCGAGCCUGGAACCGUUUCCAGUAAGAAGUAGGUGACAGGCUCUCCAAAUAAAGAGUAACCUUUUGAAAGCACUUCAGUCCAGCGGCGGGGGCUUUUUAUAAUCCUCACUUGCAUUUUGAGAGUGGGAAGGCCGAGCUGGGUUCGGGCUCAGCUUCUUCCCCCACCGCCUUCCCCCCCACACACUUUGAUCUGUGAAGGAUGUCUAAUCCUUAGCCAAGUCUGUUGGAACUUUAUCCAGAGCAGGAAAAAGGGAAAUAUUUUUCCUUUCUUGGGUGGAUUUGUAUUUCUAUAAACCCUUAGCAAUGAAAAUGGAGCCAAGUGACAGGCCCGUGCGUCUGAGAGGCAAGUUGUUGAGUCAGUGACAGAAGGGGAAGGGGCAGUGCAUCUUUCUGCCCCCGGCCAGCUUUGGUUUGGGUUAGACCCUGGCCGACCUUCUAAGGGUCACUGAGGACAGGAUAGUGUUAAGUCCACAUGAGCAUUUUCCGGGGGCCGUUUCUGCCGAGCCAGAAGCCAACCAGUUAACUUCAGAUCAUAACUCUGGUGGGAUAUUCGUUACGUAUGUAGUGGGUUCAUUUGCUUCGCGUUUGUUGUUGCUGCUACGAGAGUAGUGUUGUGGAGGGCCUUAGCUGGCCUCUGUGAGUCACUUCAACUCUGGAAGCUUUACCUUCUCACAUUAUUGAUUUACUUGCACGAAUUUGUUGGCACUCAUUGGACCAGCCCUUGGUACUUCUUAUGGGUGGCGAGUUUUUAAAAUGUGCUGACGUUGGGGCGCCUGGGUAGCUCAUUCGGUCGAGCAUCCAACUCUUGGUUCUGGCUCAAGUCAUGAUCUCACGCUUUGUGAGAUAGAGCCUUGCAUCAGGCUCUGUGCUGACAGCAGGGAGCCUGCUUGGGAUUCUCUCUCUCCCUUUCUCCCUGCCCCUUGCCAGCUUACACUCAUGCGUGCGUGUGAACUCUCUCUCUCUCUCUCUCUCUCUCAAAAUAAAUAAAUAAACUUUACAACAAAUAAUAAAAUAAAAUGUGCUUGCCAUUGGUACGAAAUGCUUUCCUGUCAGAAAACCACCUCAUCUAAGGUUCAAGUAGUGCCUCAUAGUUCUAUGUUUCUAGGAUGAACGGUGGUUUAUUUUUAGACAUUCAAGAGAAAUCUUGUAUAUAAUCUGAAGGUAAGAGACCUUGUUUUGGUGUCAUUGCAAUUUGUGUGUUAUCUGGGCUAAUGUGGGACUGACGGAGACUUUGAGACCAGAAAGGGUGAAGAACUUUGAUAUAAUCAUUUCUGUUGCUAGUGUUCACUCUUUUAGAUACAAAGGCCUUCCUGGUAGGCUCCUGAACUUACUGCACCUUCCCUGGAAUCAUUUCUCGUCCGUGUUAAUAAAUGCCGCCCCAGCCAGGUUCACCUGUUAUCCUGGAUGUUUAGUGCGGCUCCCAGGAAUAUUUAUGUGGUGUCUGUUGGAACCUCACACUUAAAGGUGGAAGUCUCAUGAAGUUUCAGCCUGGUAUCUUGUCCCAGUGCUGUGACGAACGCCCGGGGAAGGCAACUCUGGUGAUUCAGAGACCCUGAAGCUUUUCAGCAGGUGGGGAGUCUAGAUAGAGGAGCGGCCUGAGUGGGGAGGGGAUGGGGCUCUUACUCCACUGGCGGUGAUGGAGAUAGGGUGCUGUAGGAAAGGGGACUUGAGCGAGCCAAGCGUGAGGCAGUGGUAAGAGAGUAUGGUACCAAGGAUUGGAUGUGUGCGAAUAAAAAACCAAAAAAGGUAAACAGACAUGAAGAAAAGGAAGUAGGAAUUGUAAUGUGAAGGAAGUGACAAAACUCAGGUGGCGCUUUGAAAAGAAAUUGUGUUGGCAGUUUUCCCUCGGUUGAACUCUGGUCGAAUGCUCUGGAAAGGGGCGCUGUGCUCUUAGGUCACAACUCUUCUGAUCUAGAAGAGACCUGAGUCAUUACCCACCAGGGAGGGGCGGGAUGCAGCUCUUCUCGGCCUAGCACGCCUGAGGUAUUCAGUCACUUCCGUGUGUCCCUCAACCAACUAAGCAAACAAAGCUUUAUGUGAUUAGUAAGCAGACAUUACUAUGAGGACAGUCAUCCUCUCUUAGGAACUGGGCUAAACAAGGAGAAGCCGAGCUUGUUCACUCCAGGUGGAGCGUCUUCCAUAAAAGGAAUAUGAAAGGUGUCCGUCAUCUGUGCCCAGUGGGGCGGGUCCCCCUUGGCUUGGCUUCCACUACUCAUCAGGAGAGUCUGAGGACUUCACAGGUGAGAAUCGUUGUGUGAGUCAUAGAAGGAAUCAAGCGCGUGACCUUUGUUUUUCCUCUUGCCUGUAACUGUCACCACCGCCGGCCACCACCUUGGAGGACGCUGGGAGGAAGUUGAAGCCAAAUGUUGACACUGAAUUUGUCUAGUGCAGCCUGAGAGCAGGCCAUGACGACUCACUGGCGAUAGGUCCUGAGUCGCACCUCUAGUUCAAGGGCAUCUCCAUGACCCCAGUUGGCCUGCUUCUGUUUGGCUUAGAGAGUGUACUCUUACGGAUAAGACUUUGUAAACUGUCCCCAAAGCCUCACGGCACAGAAGGGCAUGUGGGCGGUUUUCUUUUUUCUUUUUUUGAAGAAGUCUCAGCUUUCAGAGUCAAAACUGGUCUUGGGAAUGCAACAAAUGGCUGGAGACGGCAAUGUCUUUACGUUGCUAAAUCGCCCAGAACUCAGUAGAUGCCUACAAUUUGAAGAAUUGAAGGGCUGUAUAGUGCAAAUGAAAAUACAGUUCUACAAGAAGUUCAUAAUUUCUGAUGGUGUGAGUUUUUGCAGCUGCCUUUGGAAUGCGUGCCUUAGGAUGCAUCCGGCUAUUAAGCGGUCCUAUCGUGGACUCAUUUCCAAGAGGAACUAAUUGAGCCAAAAGCAGACUCUGCUCACAGGAAGAAAGCAGCAUCCCUGCAGUUUAGGGGACCAGUCUGAGUCCCAGAACUCUCUACAAGUACGUGUGGCCGAGUGCUGGACAGUAUCUGUAGGCAUCCCAGCUGACUUCCAGUGACCCAGCGGGAAGAUUCCUGCCCAGUCUCCGGGUACCCGAGGGGGAAAACGGUUGAUGUGGCAGCCUUUUAAUGCCGGAAAUCUUGAGCCGGAGUAAUUAAGGACGGUUUUUCAUAACUUUAACGGGCACAAGGAGACUGGGCAGUGGCCUAAAACAGCUUCGGUGAAUGCAGUGUUCUGUUCUUCGGGCCAAAGUUCUGCUUUUUCAGGAAGACUGACUGCAUUGUGUGCCGCACGUGAACAGACCAUCUCCAACCGUAGAGAAAGCACUAGCAUUCGAAACGCAUUCCCCUUCGGUGUGCGGCCGGCAUGCUUUCGCCUCGUUUUCUUACUGACUCAAACAUAAAAUAAAUAAAUAAGUAACCCCAGGACCAUUUAAAUCUCGAGGGACCGCUUUCCCUCUGAAUUCAUCUGUGUUCUUGGUCAGUUGAUGUUUCUAAUUAGAAUGUAGCUCUAAGUGGACACUGACGCACAGAAAUGUCAGUCUCAUAAUUUGUAACGACUACAGAGAAUCCCGUCUUACUGGUGUGUCGGAGUUUUUAAUCAUUUCCCCAGUGUUGGACUUUUGAGAGGGUUACCAGGUUUUCACUGUUUUAUAAAUAGUGUUGCUAUGAGCAAUCAUUGUAUAAUUUUUGUCAGAGAGAAAGGCCUACUUCCUGGAAGCAAGUUCCUGAAAAUGGAAAUAUAACAGGUCACGUGUGUAUUUAUCCUUACUUCACCACUGGCACAUUUUCUGUAAAUGUAGCUUUUUUUUUUUUUUCCCCAGCUUCCACCAGCUUUGGGAUUUAUCUUUUUUACUGGCUUUUGCUAGUGAUGACAGACGUGUCAUAGAUCUAACAUUUUUUCAUUUGAAGUUUUCAAAUUUCUGGUGACGCGGUAUUUUGCAGGUAAAUCAUUUACGGUCUAAUCCUGGCGUACGGCUUUACUGUAGAGAAUGUGGGUACGAUCACAUAUUCGCAUGAAUUCUUUAUAUAGUUGGAAAAUUAAGCUUUUCAAAAAAAUCUCAUCAGUAUGUCAUAGUGUCAAGAACUUACCGGAUGCCGGACACAACAUUUAACACUUUCUGUGUUAUCUAAUUUAAUCAUCACGAUGUCCUUGCCUCGGGACAGUAUUAUGUGGUGGUUAAGAGUGAAGUCAGAUAGUCCUGGGUCCAAAUUUCCGCUUUGCCACUUCCUCCUUGUUGGUGAAUACCUAACCGCUCUGAGCCUCCCUCGCCACCUCUGUAUAUAAUGAGGACAGGAUUGUAGGUACGUCAUAGUGUUGUCAUGAGGACUAAGUGACACGAUACAAUGACAGCCUAAGUGCAUAAUAAGUGCUCGAUAAAUGUUAGCUGCUACUGCGAUCACCAUUUUUUCUUCUGUGGUUGCUGUAUGUCAUUUACCUUGACGUAUAUAACAGCAUGCUGGUAACGUGGAGUCCUGGAUAAUCGAUGUGAUGGGUCUUCUGAGACCGUGUUCUCUGCUCUUGGAGGUCUUUUGGAGUCCUGCAAAUCAGUAUUCUUCUGUCCUUCUCGUUGUCCUUCUAACAUUUCAAAACUUUCCUCAGGGGGCCCUAACAUACAGGACUACAGUUCCUUUUAUGCACAUGUGACUUUCUCAGAUGCUGGGACCCUCCAUAUGAAAGGCCUUGACUUAGACUCCGGUAUCCCCUGUGUCUCCUCACACACAGUAAGAUCUCCCUAUUUAGAUACUGAGUGGCUGUUGCUUUUUCUAAUGUUUAUUUAUUUUUUGUGAGACAGGGACUAUACAUGAACGGGGGACAGGCAGAGAGAGAGAGAGAGGGAGAGACACAAAUCCAAAGCAGGCUCCAGGUUCCGAGCUGUCAGCAUAGAGCCCGACGCGGGGCUCGAACUCACGAACUGCGAGAUCAUGACCUGAGCCGAAGCCGGACGCUUAACUGACUGAGCCACGCAGGCGCGCUGGCUAAUAUUUUAGCUUGAAAAUCAAGUUUGUGUGCAAGAAACUUGAGAUGACCAGCUUCUGUUUUAGUAGAUAACACAUAUUAUGAACCACUUUUGUAUUUGUGAUCAUGUUUUUUGAGAGGAAAAGGCUGUUUUCCUCAUUUUCUGAAUCUAACGACAGGGCACAUUCUUUCUGUCCUAAGAAUCCCGGCACCUCGCAGGAGCCUGUUGGAGGGCGGGGACCUGCGGGAGAUUGUGAACGGUUUAGCUUGGCUGCUCGGUUUUCUGCAGCCUCGAGUGGAGUUUUCACACCUGGGAGGCUUCUCCUCGCCUGCAGCUUUCAUGCCCCCCCUGCGGCUGGCAGUGCUGCUGGGGGUAGGGCCUCCACGAAACCGGUUACCUGUCUCGGUAGGAUACUGGGAAUCUGGGGUAGGGGGCACUAAAGCUGUCAGUUUAAUAAAAAUUCAUAACGGG